Molecule: small nucleolar RNA, 100 nt
Organism: Otolemur garnettii (small-eared galago)
Lineage: Eukaryota; Metazoa; Chordata; Mammalia; Primates; Galagidae
Source: Ensembl
AUCCUUUUGUAGUUCAUAAGCAUGACGAGUAGGAUUUCAUGGGCCUGUGUGAGAAGUGCCUCCCUCAUAAGCCUCACGUUGGCACAUUACCCAUCUGAUG